Molecule: ribosomal RNA, 450 nt
Filed under: uncultured bacterium
Lineage: Bacteria
Description: bacterial SSU rRNA
Rfam family: Bacterial small subunit ribosomal RNA
Source: RNAcentral
CCCAGACUCCUACGGGAGGCAGCAGUGGGGGAUAUUGCACAAUGGGGGAAACCCUGAUGCAGCGACGCCGCGUGGGCGAAGAAGUAUUUCGGUAUGUAAAGCCCUAUCAGCAGGGAAGAAGAAAUGACGGUACCUGAGUAAGAAGCACCGGCUAAAUACGUGCCAGCAGCCGCGGUAAUACGUAUGGUGCAAGCGUUAUCCGGAUUUACUGGGUGUAAAGGGAGCGCAGGCGGCACGGCAAGCCUGGAGUGAAAGCCCGGGGCCCAACCCCGGGACUGCUCUUGGAACUGCGUGGCUGGAGUGCAGGAGGGGCAGGCGGAAUUCCUGGUGUAGCGGUGAAAUGCGUAGAUAUCAGGAGGAACACCGGUGGCGAAGGCGGCCUGCUGGACUGCAACUGACGUUGAGGCCCGAAAGCGUGGGGAGCAAACAGGAUUAGAUACCCGAGUAGCA